Molecule: ribosomal RNA, 411 nt
Filed under: Triticum aestivum (bread wheat)
Lineage: Eukaryota; Viridiplantae; Streptophyta; Magnoliopsida; Poales; Poaceae
Description: partial small subunit ribosomal RNA
Source: RNAcentral
ACCUCCAAGAAUACGCGGAGGAGGUGGCCCGGGUCGGCGUCGGCGCCGUCCGGCGUGGGCCACGUGCCCGCUUCCAAGUGCGUCUGCGCGCCGGCCACCCACGCCGGGUCCUUCAAGUGUCGCUUCCACCGCACCAACUCCCAAGGCCACAGCCACGGCCAGGGCCAGGGAAGCCGCCCUUCUUCGCCCCCUUCACCGGCCGCGGCACCCGGCCUCGCCGUCCUCGUCCUCCGGCACCGUCGCGACCCAGUGACGCAGCCCAAGCAUCGGCCUCAAGAAUCAAGAAUGCUCGACAACGGAGAGGGAAGGGAAGAUCAUAUACAUGUCAUAAGAAAGGGAGUUUAUUUACUGCUCCCUCGAUGUAUUGUUUCCUUUGUUUGGAGAUUGAUUACCAUCCUUGAGUUAAGGUAA